RNAcentral lists this long non-coding RNA (1324 nucleotides) under Mytilus galloprovincialis (Mediterranean mussel). Lineage: Eukaryota; Metazoa; Mollusca; Bivalvia; Mytilida; Mytilidae. The record is from RNAcentral.
GUCCUGGGUUGGGAACCUCCCUUUUUAAAUUGACUGGAUCCGCCCCUGAUUGCCCAGCGUAGAUCAGCAUAUCCCUUUAACUAAGCAGUGCACUCUGUUUGCUAUUAUCAUAUCUAUUCCGUUCUGAUUGAUAUAUACGUUUAACUUAUUUAAUACUAGUAGUAAAUAUUGAUGAUCCUUCUUUAAAAAAAAAUAGGCACGUGAACAAUGAUACUACUGUAUAAUAGAACUAUCCUUUUGGCUAGACAUCAAUCAUCAAUCUUUUGAAUCUUUAACCUUCAUCCUAGCCACACAAAUACAUACAGCCAUAGUCGAUGCCUAACAAAAUUCAAGAAAUUCGUAUUUCUUUAUAUCCUCUACUGUAAAAUCCCUACCUGCUUAGGAAUUUUGAAUAAUUGUCAGAGGCGGAUUUAGGGGGGGGCGCAGGGGGCCCGCCCCCCCCCUUUUUGGGAAAAAAUUUGGUUACUUAUAUAGGGAAUCACUGAAGCGUGACUGGAGCGGGCCCCCUCUCAGGUCAGUCAGUGGGCCCCCACUUAUGAAAAUUUCUGGAUCCGCCACUGAUUGUGACCAUUAAACGCAGAUUUGAGAGUCCUCAAAAUUACUGGAAGCCAGUUGAUUGAUUGAUUUUUUUACAACCAGCGUCAAAUAUAUAUGCAAGUUCAGGACCGUUGAAUUUUUUUUGCCAAUAAAUACAAUUUGGAGCUAGGUCCUAUAAUAGGUGUCGUCCAGGACGAAGGUCUGGAAAUUUAAAAAUGCCAUGCAUUGGAAAAUGAGGGAUUAUUGGAUAGGAGCAGAAAAUUUGCCUUUCAGUAGACCAACUACGAACUCAUCAAAGAGUUGCAUUUUCUCUACAACUAAGCAUCGGAUUUAGUCCCCAUUCUGACCAGACGUGACUGCGUAUUUAUACAUCCUGCACAGCCAAACGGACGACCAAUAUUUGCAAGUCGGGUGAAGACAAAGUGGAAAGAUGGUUGAAAACUAACAACAACUAAUUAAAAACUCAUGUGUCUAAGUUUAGGUUCAUUCAAGUUUUUCUUGGUAGAAGUGAAAUGAUCUGAACCAAAGUUCUAGUUUAUAGUUUCAAUAUAAGGUAAAAUCGUAAUAACAUUCAAUUCUAUCCAAUAUUCAAUUCACUAAGGACGAGAGACUAGUGUACACAUGACAUUCGAUAAUUAAAGAGUUUUGACAACUUCACCGGCUUUCAUCUACAGAUAAAGUUGUUCAUUAUUUUUUUUAACAAAAAAAAACUAUUUGUAAAAAAAUAUGUGUAGGCACGUGCCUAAAGUGCCUAACGGCAGCUACGCCCCUGAUCUGAAUUUAUGAA